AACGAACGCUGGCGGCAGGCCUAACACAUGCAAGUCGAGCGGGACCUUCGGGUCUAGCGGCGGACGGGUGAGUAACGCGUGGGAAUAUGCCCUUCUCUACGGAAUAGCCCAGGGAAACUUGGAGUAAUACCGUAUACGCCCUUUGGGGGAAAGAUUUAUCGGAGAAGGAUUAGCCCGCGUUGGAUUAGGUAGUUGGUGAGGUAACGGCUCACCAAGCCGACGAUCCAUAGCUGGUUUGAGAGGAUGAUCAGCCACACUGGGACUGAGACACGGCCCAGACUCCUACGGGAGGCAGCAGUGGGGAAUCUUAGACAAUGGGGGAAACCCUGAUCUAGCCAUGCCGCGUGAGUGAUGAAGGCCUUAGGGUUGUAAAGCUCUUUCAGCUGGGAAGAUAAUGACGGUACCAGCAGAAGAAGCCCCGGCUAACUCCGUGCCAGCCGCCGCGUAA
This 448-nucleotide ribosomal RNA is filed under the name uncultured bacterium. RNAcentral's name for it is "bacterial SSU rRNA". It matches the Rfam family "Bacterial small subunit ribosomal RNA", at positions 29 to 522 of the family's 1533-position model. The record is from RNAcentral.